This 200-nucleotide long non-coding RNA is filed under the name Lupinus angustifolius (narrow-leaved blue lupine). Its description in RNAcentral is "long non-coding RNA (LANG_LNC003654)". Lineage: Eukaryota; Viridiplantae; Streptophyta; Magnoliopsida; Fabales; Fabaceae. The record is from RNAcentral.
UGGGGGCCAAAGCUGGAGAGCAAUGUAGAAUAUUAGUAUACAAUUGUAAGAUAGAGAAAUAAAGUGAGAAACUUGGAGAAUGGGAUUCCAAUGUGCAUUUUAUAUGGCCUUUUGCUCUUCAAACCACAUUGAUUACCUUUUGUGAUAUAGUUAUACAAAUAUUUGAAUCACAUGUCAAUUGAGAUGAGGCACAAUGCUUA